AGAGCCAAGAGGGAGGUCGGGCCAGGGCCUGGCGGCUUCCUCUGCGAACUCUGCCACUUUCUGGCCUCAGGUCCUGAGUUCUUAUCCCAGGUCCAGGAACAAUGAGGUUACUCAGGCAACUGGAGGGUGAGGAUGGAGAAGAGCUUUAUUGAGCAACAGAACAGCUCUCAGCAGAGAGGAGACCCAAAGUGGGUAGCUCCUACCUACAGGAAGGUUUCUGAAGGGGGCCAAGAUGGCCCAAUAGCAACAGCUCCAGUCUGCAGCUCCCAGAAAGACCAACGCAGAAGGCGGAUGAUGAAUUAGAGCGGUUGUUAUCGAAUCUGCCACCAGAGGGCGAUCCAGGCUGAAGAUCUCUCUCUCUGGGGAAGCCAGCCACCACUCUCCAAGGACUCUCUAGCAGCUCCAUCUGCAGAUUCACAUGGAGAAGAAUUAAGGGUUCCUGCCAAUCACCAGCACCACUUUGCCAGCCUUGUAAGUGGGCCACCUUGGAAUUGGAGCCUCCAGCUCCUACUGACAUCUGACUGCAACAUCAUGAGAGACCCUGGGUUUGAACCACCCAGCUGAGCUGCUUCUGAGCUAACCCACUGAAACCGUGAAAGUACCUGAAUGAAACAACACCCAGUAGCCACUAGCACACCUAGCUCCCAGAUCUCAGUUUUUGAUGCCAUUCUUCAGUAAAAGGAAGCAAGGCUCCUUGAAGAAAUUGCUAUCAAGGACUGGGGUAGAAAAUAUACAAGAUGAAAUUGGAGCAUCUUGUAGUGCUUAAAAACAGUCGGCAGCUGUGUGAAGACGGGAAUGGAGGAGGCAGGGUAGGCAGUGAGUGCCGCAGCCACAGCUUGGGUUCUCUGCAGCCCUGGCACAGAAGAUAGGAACACCCAUGGGGGAUGUGGCCACCAUGAUGUC
This 903-nucleotide long non-coding RNA is filed under the name Pongo abelii (Sumatran orangutan). Its description in RNAcentral is "lincRNA". The record is from RNAcentral. Lineage: Eukaryota; Metazoa; Chordata; Mammalia; Primates; Hominidae.